UGUAGUUGGAAAACUGGGCACCCCACAGUGGUGGGCGUCAGGUCAGCCCCGAAGGGUGAGUUCUCGUCGUUUCUUCCAGGUGUAGCCUUCGUUCCUGCCGCUAAGGCCACUUAGCAUGUGGGCCACUGGACAGACACUGGAGGCGCUGGAGCUGGAGGCCAGCAGACGGCCAUGGGGGAGUCGUCUUGUCCACCUGACUGCUGAGAAGGACCUCCUUCCACUGAGACCUUCGGGCGAGCUCUCCCAUUGGGCAUGACAGCACUGCCGUGUCGCAUAGUCCAGAACGCGCCAGUCAUGGAGAAUACGAUGCUGGAGGUGGAUGAUGUGGCUCUGGACGCAGGUACGUUCACCCUCUGGACCAUUUUGAGAAAACUGUCCACACGUCUCUUCCCCAAAACUCCUCGUCACCAGCCUUCCAGCCUUGUCCUCCCCAGUCCCUGAGUGUUUGGCCAAGCCGUGAGCCCAGCCAGGAGUCCCUGCGGACCCUCACCCAGGGCCUCCUCAGCUCCCAGGAAGCAUCGCUUGAAGUUCUGUCCCACUAGAGCGUUUCCCGUCUUCACGUGCAGUACGAAGAAUAAUGUUCCCCCACAGAUGCCCACACCCUCGUCCCCAGCCCCGUGAAUCUGUCACAUGGCAGCAGGGACUGUGCAGACGUGAUUAAGGUCAUGGACCUUGAGAUGGGGGCGUUAGCCUGGAUUACGUGUCCUGAUGUCACCACAAGGACCCUUAGAAGUGAAAGAAGAGGGCAGAGGAGUUAGAGACACGACGAGAAGGAGCUGAAUUCCACCAACACCCUGAACGAGCAAAGAAGUGGCAUCUCCUCCAGAGCAUGAAGCAAGGGCUGUGGUCCAGCCAAUGCCUGGAGUUGGCCUGUGGGACUCUGAGCAGAGAAACCAGCCUGACCAGCUGGACUUCCAACCCUGGGACUGUAGGAUAUUAUAUUCGUGUUGUCUGCAGCUGCUAAAUUCGUGGCAGCAAUAGGUAACUGAUACAACCGUCCUUCGCGGCCGUGCUGAAGGGCCCCGGUGAUAUGCUCAAGUGUUUUGUGGGCUCUUAGACCUCUGCGGGGCCUUAGAAGCUAUCUUUUUCCUGCCUGAGGAGGAUAAUCCUCCCCUGGCAAUGUAGCGUACUGGUUAGCAUAAGCCUUGGAGCCAGAUGAACUUGAGUGCAAAUCCUGACGCCUCACUCACUACCUAUGUGGCCUCGACGAGUUUCCAGAUUGCCCUGUGCCUCAGGGUUCGCACCUGUAAAAUGGGAGCAAUCGUAGCAGCUGAGCAUUCAGUAAGGGGAAGCAUGCACAGUGCUCAGCACAGGGCCUGGUCCUGGGCAGGUCAGGGGACAGCAGUGGUUACGAUUAUUACAGCAUUUCUGAGUGGUGGUUGUCUGGUCUGGUGAAUCACCUCCAGGCCCGAGACACUUGCUCUCUUAUGAGAUGAGCAAGGUAAACACCUUCUGUCUACACGUGGCCUAUGAGGGUUCUGGGGUGGGUGUGAGAAGGACAAGGGGUCAGGCCUGGCUUUGGUACAGACUGGCUAAGAUACUGGGUAGGCCAUGGUCCUUCCUUCUUUCUGGGCCUCAAUUUCUCCUCUGUGAAAUGAGAGAGUUGGCUCUAACUUCCCUUUCUGGUUUUGAGAUUUUGUGAUUCUGUGAAUUCAGGUCAGAGCUACACUGUUGAUCUCACAUGUAAUUAUUUUUUCUCAGGAUUACACAUUCUUGAAUAAAAAUGAAAUAAGACCUUCAGAAAAACUGAUGAAAUACUUUUUUACCUAACAUUAAUAUGCCACACUGAAGGCAGGAAAAUGAAUCAGUAAGAUUAAAGGCGUGGGGAGCCCAGGAGUAUAAGCACCGGGCCGGAGCGAGACGGCAGAGCGAGGCGGGGGCUGGCUGUUUCCAUGUAUAUUUAUUUGCUCUGACAUUAGUGCAUUAAGCUGGUGCAUAUGUAAUUUCAUAUAAAAACUAACACCAGUGGAAUAUUCCUCUGCUCACACAUGCCGCUCUCAUCGGCGGAGCCAUCGCGUGGACACGGGAGGUGCCCUGCUCCCCCAAAUCCAUCCCGGGGUGGAGGUGCAGAACAGUUUUAGGUUCACAGCAAAAUUGAGCAGAAGGCACAGAGCUCUCCCAUGGACCUCCCGCCCCAACACACGCGCAGCCUCCCCGACUGUGGACAUCUUCCACGAGAGCCAGGCAUUUGCCACAAUUGAUGAGCCUACACUGACACGUCAUCGUCACCCAGAGCCCGCGGUUUCCACUGGGGCUCCCUCCUGGUGUUGUGCAGUCCGUGGGGUGGGACAGUGUAUAAUGUCCCGUAUCCAUCGCUUUACGUCAUACAGAGCAGUUUCACUGCCCUAGCCCCUGUUAUUAACGCGUCCUGUCAGAGUGAUACACUGUU
Equus quagga is the source of this 2389-nucleotide long non-coding RNA. RefSeq lists it as uncharacterized. The transcript has 3 exons. The record is from RefSeq and is a predicted model, not a curated record. NCBI's taxonomy places the organism in Eukaryota, Metazoa, Chordata, Mammalia, Perissodactyla, Equidae.